GAUGAACGCUAGCUACAGGCUUAACACAUGCAAGUCGAGGGGCAGCAUUUCAGUUUGCUUGCAAACUGGAGAUGGCGACCGGCGCACGGGUGAGUAACACGUAUCCAACCUGCCGAUAACUCGGGGAUAGCCUUUCGAAAGAAAGAUUAAUACCCGAUGGUAUAAUCAGACCGCAUGGUCUUGUUAUUAAAGAAUUUCGGUUAUCGAUGGGGAUGCGUUCCAUUAGGCAGUUGGUGAGGUAACGGCUCACCAAACCUUCGAUGGAUAGGGGUUCUGAGAGGAAGGUCCCCCACAUUGGAACUGAGACACGGUCCAAACUCCUACGGGAGGCAGCAGUGAGGAAUAUUGGUCAAUGGGCGCAGGCCUGAACCAGCCAAGUAGCGUGAAGGAUGACUGCCCUAUGGGUUGUAAACUUCUUUUAUAUGGGAAUAAAGUUUUCCACGUGUGGAAUUUUGUAUGUACCAUAUGAAUAAGGAUCGGCUAACUCCGUGCCAGCAGCCGCGGUAAUACGGAGGAUCCGAGCGUUAUCCGGAUUUAUUGGGUUUAAAGGGAGCGUAGGUGGACAGUUAAGUCAGUUGUGAAAGUUUGCGGCUCAACCGUAAAAUUGCAGUUGAUACUGGCUGUCUUGAGUACAGUAGAGGUGGGCGGAAUUCGUGGUGUAGCGGUGAAAUGCUUAGAUAUCACGAAGAACUCCGAUUGCGAAGGCAGCUCACUGGACUGCAACUGACACUGAUGCUCGAAAGUGUGGGUAUCAAACAGGAUUAGAUACCCUGGUAGUCCACACAGUAAACGAUGAAUACUCGCUGUUUGCGAUAUACAGUAAGCGGCCAAGCGAAAGCAUUAAGUAUUCCACCUGGGGAGUACGCCGGCAACGGUGAAACUCAAAGGAAUUGACGGGGGCCCGCACAAGCGGAGGAGCAUGUGGUUUAAUUCGAUGAUACGCGAGGAACCUUACCCGGGCUUAAAUUGCAUUUGAAUAUAUUGGAAACAGUAUAGCCGUAAGGCAAAUGUGAAGGUGCUGCAUGGUUGUCGUCAGCUCGUGCCGUGAGGUGUCGGCUUAAGUGCCAUAACGAGCGCAACCCUUAUCUUUAGUUACUAACAGGUCAUGCUGAGGACUCUAGAGAGACUGCCGUCGUAAGAUGUGAGGAAGGUGGGGAUGACGUCAAAUCAGCACGGCCCUUACGUCCGGGGCUACACACGUGUUACAAUGGGGGGUACAGAAGGCAGCUACCUGGUGACAGGAUGCUAAUCCCAAAAGCCUCUCUCAGUUCGGAUCGAAGUCUGCAACCCGACUUCGUGAAGCUGGAUUCGCUAGUAAUCGCGCAUCAGCCAUGGCGCGGUGAAUACGUUCCCGGGCCU
This 1359-nucleotide ribosomal RNA is filed under the name uncultured bacterium. RNAcentral describes it as "bacterial SSU rRNA". It matches the Rfam family "Bacterial small subunit ribosomal RNA", at positions 28 to 1381 of the family's 1533-position model. The record is from RNAcentral.